AGCGAACGCUGGCGGCAGGCCUAACACAUGCAAGUCGAACGAACCUUUCGGGGUUAGUGGCGGACGGGGGAGUAACACGGGGGAACGUGCCUUUAGGUUCGGCAUAACUCAGGGAAACUUGUGCUAAUACCGAAGGUGCCCUUCGGGGGAAAGAGUUAUCGCCUUUAGAGCGGCCCGUGUCUGAUUAGCUAGUUGGUUGAGGUAAUGGCUCACCAAGGCGACGAUCAGUAGCUGGUCUGAGAGAAUGAUCAGACACAUUGGGAGUGAGACACGGCCCAAAAUCUUACGCGAGGGAGGAGUGGGUAAUCUAGCGAAAUGGGCGAAAGGAUGACGCAGCCAUGCCGGGUGAAUGAUGAAGGUCUUAGGAAAGUAAAAUUCUUUCACCGGGGACGAUAAUGACGGUACCCGGAGAAGAAGCCCCGGCUAACUUCGUG
This 434-nucleotide ribosomal RNA is filed under the name uncultured bacterium. Its description in RNAcentral is "partial 16S ribosomal RNA". It matches the Rfam family "Bacterial small subunit ribosomal RNA", at positions 29 to 507 of the family's 1533-position model. The record is from RNAcentral.